GACAUUUUGAGAAAAUACCAGCCUUGUCAUUCUUCUUGUAAAACCUGCGAUGAGUCUGCGACUCUGUGCACCUCGUGUCCCAAAGGAAUGUACCUGUGGGCUCAGGCUUGUGUGUCCUCCUGUCCCCAAGGCACAUGGCCUUCUGCGAGGAGUGGCAGCUGUGAGAACUGUACAGAGGACUGUGCCUCUUGCUCUGGAACCGAUCUUUGCAAGAGGUGCUGGGUUCAGCCCGACCGCCCUCUCUUCCUCCAUGACGGCAGAUGCUUCACCAAGUGCCCCGAGUACGUGUCCAUCUUCCCUUUACUUCCUGUUGGUGUCAUUGUCCCGCAGCACUUUGGGCAGCAAUGCCCUCUUCGUUGAAGAGCUGUCCUCUCUAGUUAGAACAGCCACAUAAAUGUCCUCUUUUGAUGACUUGACAUCACUGUUGGCCAC
This 432-nucleotide long non-coding RNA is filed under the name Dasypus novemcinctus (nine-banded armadillo). Its description in RNAcentral is "lncRNA (ENSDNOG00000051395.1)". Lineage: Eukaryota; Metazoa; Chordata; Mammalia; Cingulata; Dasypodidae. The record is from RNAcentral.